UUAAUAAUGUUCCUAAAAUUUAAAAUAUAUAUAUGAUAUAUUAAUUUUGGAAAUGAAAAGAAUACUUCUCCAUUAAAGUUAUGACUUUAAUACAUUAUAUGAAGAUAGAAUGUAAAUGGAAGUUAAUCAUGUUCCUAAAAUUUUAAAUAUAUAUAUGAUAUAUUAAUUUUGGAAAUGAAAAGAAUACUUCUUCGUUAAAGUUAUGACUUUAAAACAUUAUAUGAAGAUAGAAUGUAUAUGGGAGACAUAGUAUAUAUACAUGGGAUGGAAAUCUAUAUUGAUAGAUUUUAGGAUAUAAUUGGAUUAUAUAAAGCCCUAAAUAUAGACAAAAGAUGAUAGGAAGUUUCUCAUAUGAUGAUGAACUUCAAUCAAAUGGACAACUCUAGUAAGACUAAGGAGUUGCUCUUCUCAAAGAGAACGUACUCUUUGACUUCCAAAGAAAUAAUGCGUAAAUAGAAUCCUUUAUGCAUACGCAGAAAGGUGAUUUAUGUAUUUCAUAUUGUAUGAAAAACAUUGAUAUGAGUUGUACCUAGAAAGGUGCAAGACGAUAUCAGUGCAAGCCCAGGAUCAGAACCAUGGCAACUGUCAAUUGAGUCCUUAAGUAUUUAAGAAAUACUAAAGGAUAAAUUCCUCUAAGAUCGAGGAAGAAUUAGAGUAACGUAAUGGAAGCGUAAAUGUAUUAGAUUAUGAAUCUAAU
Molecule: long non-coding RNA, 697 nt
Filed under: Malus domestica (apple)
Lineage: Eukaryota; Viridiplantae; Streptophyta; Magnoliopsida; Rosales; Rosaceae
Description: long non-coding RNA (MDOM_LNC018398)
Source: RNAcentral